GUGGUUUUAUGUUUAACUUGCAAGUCGAUACAGGUAAUACUUCUUUUUUGUUUUUGGCCAUGCCCAUAGCAUGAGGAAGUUCCUGGGUGAGGGAUCAAACCCAUGUCAUAGCAUCGACCUGAGCCACUGCAGUGACAAUGCUGGAUCCUUUACCCACUGCACCAGAAAUAUGGCUGACUUCAAACUUCUGUUUAAAAUCUAAAAUGGACUUUUGGUUUUGGGAGAGAGCACAUUCUUGCAGUAAGAUUCCAGUAAGUGCCGUGCUAUUUCUUCAUCUCAAGUAAAAAAAAAAGCAAAAGUCAUUACCUGUAUAUAUUGCUGGUGUACAAAUUCUAAACAAUUUAUAAACUUUCUAACCAGUCUUUAGGGCCGCACCUGCAGCGUAUGGAAGUUCCCAGGCUAGGAGUCAAAUCAGAGCUAUAGCCACCAGCCUCCACCACAGCCACAGCAACUUGGGAUCCAAGCUGCACCUGGGACCUACACCACAGCUCACAGCAAUGCCAGAUCUCUAACCCAUUGAGUGAGGCCAGGGAUCGAACCUGCAUUCUCGUGGAUACAAGUCAGGUUCAUCGCCAUUGAGCCAUGAAGGGAACUCCUCUAAACAUAGUUUUAUACAUGCAUAUCAAAUGUGCUAAUACUCUCUCUAGGCACUUACUUGAAAAUUACAGUACCUAAAUUCUGAGGAGAGAAAAACACUCAGACCAGUAAGCCUUAGUUUUACCUGGGGGAGUCUGAUAACCUCAAUUAAAUAUAUGACCCAUUAGGCUAAUAUGGGAUUAUUAAUUUCAAUAAAUGAAGGAAAAUAUGGUACAGUCCAACAAACCAGUCCUUAGGUUAAGCUGUGAAGAAAAUCCUCACAUGAGUCUUUAUCUUAAAGACCCAGGUAUAAGAGACACAGGCAAAGCUGGGUGAGGAAUGCUCCUCCAAGGAGAAUUCAAAUAUUUCACCUCAGCCAGUACAAAGUUCUGAUUAUUGCCUCAAAUCCUUUGUGCAGCCAGAAAUGGCAUUCCUCAAAUUACAUGGUUAAAGUGGCCCCUGCAUUUACCCAAGAGUAAAUCUAGUUAGCAACAAAGAACUAGUGGCAUGGUCCUCAGUCUGCAGUUCAGACAGGUGACUGCAGUCUGUCUCACUCUGUCAGUCAGUCUCAGUCAUGACAACAAUAUAGCAAAAGAUAUUAGACUGCAUAUCAUGUUUCAUUUUUAUCCAAUAGAUCUUUAUUUUAUUGGUCCACACUCUAAUAACUGUUGCAACUGAGUUCAUAGUCAGGUUUUAUGAAAAUAAAUGUUUUAGCCAUCACAGCAUUUCCAACAUGAACAGAAUUAAAAUCUGUAUCAAUUUAUUCAUUUUUUAGGGCUGCACCCACUCAGCAUAUGGAAGUUCCCAGGCUAGGGGUCGAAUCAGAACUGCUACUGCCGCCUACACCACACCCACAGCAACAUGGAAUCCAAGCUGCAUCUGCGACCUACACCACAGCUUGCGGCAACAAAGCAAAGCCAGGGAUUGAACCUGCGUCCUCAUGAAUACUAGUCAGGCUCGUUAACUGCAGAGUCAUGAGGGGAACUCCUUCAUCACUUUUUUAGACAGAGAAAUAUAUAUAUACAUAUAUAUCUAAGUAUGUACACACACACACACACACACACACACACACAGCUUGUGUUGUUUGGCCCAAGCAGCACAUGCUGAAAACUACAUUUUUCUAUAAAACUUUACCCUUCUUUUCCAAAAGACCUACCCUAAACUUAGCCAUGUUAUUCCACUUAAGAUUUAAUGCUUUCAGAUUUCCACUGAGAUAAACACACACACACACACACACACACACACAAUAUCUCAUUAGCUUUUCAUUUAAUUCAUUGGUGUUGUUGACACACAGGUAAACAACACUUUUUUUUUUUUCUUUUUAGCGUCACACCUGCAGCAUAAGGAAGCUCCCAAGCCAAGGGUCAAAUUGGAGCUGCAGCUGUAGAGUACACCACAGCAAUGCCAGAUCUGAGACCUAUGCCACAGCUCAUGGCAACACCAGAUCCUUAACCCACUGAGCGAGGCCAGGGAUCAAACCCACAACCUCAUGGAUACUGGUCAGGUUCUUAACCCACUGAGCCACAAUGGGAACU
This 2111-nucleotide long non-coding RNA is filed under the name Sus scrofa (pig). RNAcentral's name for it is "lncRNA (ENSSSCG00015070887.1)". Lineage: Eukaryota; Metazoa; Chordata; Mammalia; Artiodactyla; Suidae. The record is from RNAcentral.